CGCCGGCCCAAGGAGCGCGGGCCGCAACCUUCAGGGCCGCCUGGGCGGCCGACUCGAUAGCUCCUCGUCAGAGGGCGACGCGCGACAAGGCGGUGGGAACCCAACUGUACAGGAAGGGCUCCAGAAAGUACAAGACUGUAACUGACAAAGACAAGGGGGUGAGCAGGAAGUGGCUUCUCAAGGUAAUGGCUCACCUGGUAUUGUGAACAUCGUCCCCUGGAAAAAGUGGCUAAGAGCGAGGGCCUUCUGAUGAACUGGUGGUGCUUCUGAGGUAACUGCAUCUUGUGAUGACUGAAAGGGACACACUGCAGGCUGGCCUCUGCUGGGAGUGCUUUUAAGGACAGUCAGCACUCAGGAUAAAUCCUGGUUCCAGCAGCUCAGGCCCUUCCUGGUGGCCCAGCAUCCAGGAGAGUGAUUUUUCCAGGAAAGAAAAGUCUGGUGGGUAUCUGCUUUCCCUGCAGUGAGAAAGAAAAGUGCCAGGGCCCAGCAUUAAUCCAGGGCCGGGAGGAGGGCACCCAGGGCAGAGGGGUGUCGCCUGCUGGGCUGCGGCUCCUGACAGCAGACCCAACCUCUGGGAAUAGUAA
Manis pentadactyla (Chinese pangolin) is the source of this 584-nucleotide long non-coding RNA. RefSeq lists it as uncharacterized. The transcript has 3 exons. Lineage: Eukaryota; Metazoa; Chordata; Mammalia; Pholidota; Manidae. The record is from RefSeq and is a predicted model, not a curated record.